RNAcentral lists this long non-coding RNA (647 nucleotides) under Setaria viridis. RNAcentral's name for it is "long non-coding RNA (SVIR_LNC010665)". Lineage: Eukaryota; Viridiplantae; Streptophyta; Magnoliopsida; Poales; Poaceae. The record is from RNAcentral.
UUGUAAAUCAACCAUAAAGGUAGCAACAUCAUUUUUCCUAGCUUCUAGAUGGAACACAAAGACUAAUAGAGGUGGUUUCAUCAUUUAUCAAUUUUCCACUAUUUAUCAUGCACUUAGCAAUAUUAACAUAGCAAGUGAGAUUUAAGUAUAAAACAAUAUGAACAUCAUGGAUGCCACUAACACAAGUUGUAGAUUUGAAGCAUGCAUGUUGAAAGGAAACUAACAAAUGUGGUUUCACCAUUUUUAGAGCUCUACGUGACUUAUAAAGCAUUUAAUGGCCUCCACACAAAAUAAAUCAUAGCACAAAAUAUAAAACAACAACAUGCACAUACUCAACUCUGAAAUACACUAGACCUCACAAGGAAUCCAACAAAACAAGAAUCACGUUUUUAUUUUCUAUGCAUUUUGCAAGUUUGCAACAAUUUAGAUCUAGUGAUUUUAAUCAAACCGAAAGUAUUUUGCAAUCUACCGCUGGUAAAACAUUUUCCUACUCAGAUCCGCCCUUCUCUUACAUUCAACCCCUUGUGUUUUGAGCUUAGGUCCCUGGGAACAUUCCCACCUCACCCAUAAAACCAUCCCUUUUAUGCCGAACCCCCCUGGAGUUCUAUUUCUCUCACAACCAUGUCCUUCACCUUCUUCAACCUCCA